This 301-nucleotide ribosomal RNA is filed under the name uncultured bacterium. RNAcentral's name for it is "partial 16S ribosomal RNA". It matches the Rfam family "Bacterial small subunit ribosomal RNA", at positions 509 to 807 of the family's 1533-position model. The record is from RNAcentral.
CAGCCGCCGCGGGAAUACGUAGGGUGCGAGCGUUAAUCGGAAUUACUGGGCGUAAAGCGUGCGCAGGCGGUUCGUUAAGACAGAUGUGAAAUCCCCGGGCUUAACCUGGGAACUGCAUUUGUGACUGGCGAGCUAGAGUAUGGCAGAGGGGGGUAGAAUUCCACGUGUAGCAGUGAAAUGCGUGGAGAUGUGGAGGAAUACCGAUGGCGAAGGCAGCCCCCUGGGCCAAUACUGACGCUCAUGCACGAAAGCGUGGGGAGCAAACAGGAUUAGAUACCCCGGUAGUCCCUGUCUCUUAUAC